GAGCAGCUCGACGUGAGGAAAGUUCGCUACUCAGAAUUACCCAGCAUGCGCCGUGCCAAGAGCAACUUCGCCGCCGUCGUGCUUCAAGGCUGUAUCUACACAAUUGGAGGCUUCAGUGGGAACAAGACGGUGCCGUUCGUCGAGCGCUACGACAUCGCCGCCCGGAAGUGGUACACGGCACCCGAGAUCGCCGUGAAUUGCAGCGCGUCCGCUGCCUGCAUCGUUUACGACGUCACCAACCCUGCCUCCUGGGUAUAGGCCUCCACAACACACAAGUGUUGCGGCGCGAAGCACGGCGAUGGCCCCCUGACGACCAGCAAGCCUUCAGGAAAGCGCACCAGGAAAGCGCACCGUGUAGGCCAAUGCGCGAAUGGCGAGCGCAGAGUUUGCGACUUCGUCAUGACGUUAGAAUGGCGAAAGGAAACUGGCAGAAAAAAUAUAAGAAUAAAAUGAAAUCCAAAAUAAUAUCAAUAAAA
RNAcentral lists this long non-coding RNA (476 nucleotides) under Dermacentor andersoni. Its description in RNAcentral is "uncharacterized LOC126533270". The record is from RNAcentral. Lineage: Eukaryota; Metazoa; Arthropoda; Arachnida; Ixodida; Ixodidae.